This 1355-nucleotide ribosomal RNA is filed under the name uncultured bacterium. RNAcentral describes it as "bacterial SSU rRNA". It matches the Rfam family "Bacterial small subunit ribosomal RNA", at positions 28 to 1381 of the family's 1533-position model. The record is from RNAcentral.
AUUGAACGCUGGCGGCAGGCUUAACACAUGCAAGUCGAACGAUGAUUAUCUAGCUUGCUAGUUAUGAUUAGUGGCGGACGGGUGAGUAACAUUUAGGAAUCUGCCUAGUAGUGGGGGAUAGCUCGGGGAAACUCGAAUUAAUACCGCAUACGACCUACGGGUGAAAGGGGGCGCAAGCUCUUGCUAUUAGAUGAGCCUAAAUCAGAUUAGCUAGUUGGUGGGGUAAAGGCCCACCAAGGCGACGAUCUGUAACUGGUCUGAGAGGAUGAUCAGUCACACCGGAACUGAGACACGGUCCGGACUCCUACGGGAGGCAGCAGUGGGGAAUAUUGGACAAUGGGGGCAACCCUGAUCCAGCCAUGCCGCGUGUGUGAAGAAGGCCUUUUGGUUGUAAAGCACUUUAAGCAGGGAGGAGAGGCUAAUGGUUAAUACCCAUUAGAUUAGACGUUACCUGCAGAAUAAGCACCGGCUAACUCUGUGCCAGCAGCCGCGGUAAUACAGAGGGUGCGAGCGUUAAUCGGAAUUACUGGGCGUAAAGCGAGUGUAGGUGGCUCAUUAAGUCACAUGUGAAAUCCCCGGGCUUAACCUGGGAACUGCAUGUGAUACUGGUGGUGCUAGAAUAUGUGAGAGGGAAGUAGAAUUCCAGGUGUAGCGGCGAAAUGCGUAGAGAUCUGGAGGAAUACCGAUGGCGAAGGCAGCUUCCUGGCAUAAUAUUGACACUGAGAUUCGAAAGCGUGGGUAGCAAACAGGAUUAGAUACCCUGGUAGUCCACGCCGUAAACGAUGUCUACUAGCCGUUGGGGUCCUUGAGACUUUAGUGGCGCAGUUAACGCGAUAAGUAGACCGCCUGGGGAGUACGGCCGCAAGGUUAAAACUCAAAUGAAUUGACGGGGGCCCGCACAAGCGGUGGAGCAUGUGGUUUAAUUCGAUGCAACGCGAAGAACCUUACCUGGUCUUGACAUAGUGAGAAUCCUGCAGAGAUGCGGGAGUGCCUUCGGGAAUUCACAUACAGGUGCUGCAUGGCUGUCGUCAGCUCGUGUCGUGAGAUGUUGGGUUAAGUCCCGCAACGAGCGCAACCCUUUUCCUUAUUUGCCAGCGGGUUAAGCCGGGAACUUUAAGGAUACUGCCAGUGACAAACUGGAGGAAGGCGGGGACGACGUCAAGUCAUCAUGGCCCUUACGACCAGGGCUACACACGUGCUACAAUGGUAGGUACAGAGGGUUGCUACACAGCGAUGUGAUGCUAAUCUCAAAAAGCCUAUCGUAGUCCGGAUUGGAGUCUGCAACUCGACUCCAUGAAGUCGGAAUCGCUAGUAAUCGCAGAUCAGAAUGCUGCGGUGAAUACGUUCCCGGGCCU